UGAAAAGGCAAACCGAUCGUGAGGUUGGGACGCAAAACUAUGAGUCUUCGAGUCUUCAUAACGAAGAUUGUCAGGUUACCA
Molecule: non-coding RNA, 81 nt
Filed under: marine eukaryotic metagenome
Description: Cyclic di-GMP-I riboswitch
Rfam family: c-di-GMP-I riboswitch aptamer
About the family: GEMM was predicted in a large-scale screen for bacterial structured RNA regulatory elements. Genes associated with GEMM are involved in a diverse array of functions, including chemotaxis regulation, signal transduction, secretion and chitin.
Source: RNAcentral